This is a long non-coding RNA of Talpa occidentalis (Iberian mole), 3993 nucleotides long. RefSeq lists it as uncharacterized. The record is from RefSeq and is a predicted model, not a curated record. The transcript has 3 exons. NCBI's taxonomy places the organism in Eukaryota, Metazoa, Chordata, Mammalia, Eulipotyphla, Talpidae.
CGACCGCGCCUGAGCGCGGGGCGCGCUGCGCCGGGCUCGGCCCCUGGACGGCCCGAAGUUCCGAGUUCGCCCUUUGACUGUGUGUUGAGAUCUGCCCGGUAGCCUGAGCCGCCGCCGCCAAAAGUUUUCGCGGGGACUGCGCGGACGCCGGUCCCUUUGUGAAGUUACCGUCCCGCAGUGUAAACACUCGAGCGGGACUCGCCCGCCGCCGCGGCGAGGACGGGAGCCAUGUUGGUGCAUUUGUUGCGUGCAGGGGAGCCCGGGGCUCGCCUCGCACGGAGCGCUGUGUUGAUGGUAUCAAUCGGGUUCGAGAAAAUUUGCCGUCUUUUCUGUCAAGUCUGAAUCUUAGAAACUGCUCGAGAGGGAAUUUAAAGUGGAACGGUUUGGAGAACCUGCCAGAAAUGCACAGACCUUUGUGUGUUUCGGGCUGUGUCUGGGGUCUGCGGUAGCGCUCGGGAAGGUGCGGGUCUCUACGCAAAAGCGGUGCUGGCAGAUGCACGUAGUGCUGGUAAAAUCGAGGGCCCUGGUUUCAUCAGGACCAUGUUUCCGAGGACUUUUUGGUCAGUGAAAUUGUAUUUUUCGAAUAGCCUUUGCUAGGGUUGCAUGUUACAUCCAUUGCGCAUAUCUUGUUGUAACAGAAGCUGUUCUUUAAAUACCAAUUUUGGUUUUUCCAGUCAACAGUUUUGAGCAUUUUGAACCCUGGAAGGGGUUUUCAACGGGUAUUUAGAAUCUAGAUUCUGAGAAUCCUUUUGGAACAAUGAAAUGCAAAAUAAUUGCUAGCAGUUUAACCUCCUAUCAUUUUACGUGAGGUAUUGGGGGAGGGAGAGACUGAAAAUGUUCGGGAUCCUGGUCUGAAAUUGAAUAAAGGUCACAGAUAUUACGUAUUUCAGGCUUGCUUAAAGACAGGACUAAUAACCCAUUUGGUGAGAUCAAAUAACUUGUGGUUUAAAAAUUUAACCAGUGGCCAUUUUAACUUCACUAAUUUCUCCUGGAGGAGUUAAUUUUUAAUAAAGAUGGUAAAGGAAAUUUUAAGAUGAUCUGAGUCUUAAAAAAAGGGCAAACUUUUCCUUUGUGUUUGUGUAUUGCCUGGUAUCAGAAAAAUAAAAACAAGGUCAUAAUCUUACAUCUGUCUAAAGAUGUGGAUUUUCUGUUUCUUUUUAAUCGUGAUGCUUUAAUUUCUACUGUUCUUUCCAUACCUCCAGAAGAGGAGGAAAAGGACUGUUAGAUUUUGCGAUUAAAGAAUUGCCGCAACCCAAAUGUGUAGGUAGUAUGCCAGUGAGUUGCCUUAAAUUUGCCCAUAGAUCCAGUCUUUGGAAUAUUUUCUCAUUAUUUCUUUUCACUGAAAUUUUGGUCAAGAAAUGUUGGAAAAUAAAACAAAACAAAACCCAGAACUCUAAACAUUGAUAUCAUCUUUUUUUUUCUUAAAGGUAACUUACGAGAUUACAGUAAAUUUGGUUGAUGAUGGUCCUGAGCAAAUACAGCGUUAAUUUGAGAAAUGUGUAUCCUGAGACUGAAUUCUCUAAAGGGCCUGUACAACGUAAUAGAUGUUGGUGGAAGCAUUUACACCCAGUCAGCUUGAAGAGUCUCAAAUGGACCCUACCACUGAGAAAUCAAGAUGGCAGUCCACUUGAGGAAAAUGGAUUAAUACACGAAUGCUGUGAUAUAUGCAACCGAGACAGGGUUCUUUUAACAUGGAUUUCAUGAAAUGAAGAUAUAGGUUUCUUACCUAUAGUCCCGACACAAUGGACAGUGGAUUUGACUUUCUAAAGACUUUUUGUAUCGUUAAAUCAAGUAUAUUUUUGACAUUUGGAGAAGAUGGUAUAUUAACACAGAUGAUAGUUUGUAUGCCUGGAAUUUUCAAUAGUUUUGUAUGACCUUGUGGAAUGUUACCUUUAAUAAAAUUUCUAACACUUUAAAAUUUCUCAGUUUGGGCUUUUUUUUUUUUUUUUAAGCUUGAAAUUUCAUUAAAUGUUUGGUUAUCGCCUUAAAUAACACUUUGCCCGUUACAGUUUCCUAGCAGUAAAGUGUACUGAAUAAAGUUGGUCAAAUGGAAAUGGUGUGCUGGGAAAUGUUUUACUUGGUUGGUUAAGAAUUCGUCCUUUGUCAUCAAGUUGUGGAAACUGGUGCUUUGGGGGGGGGACGGUUGGUUGAAAUGCUAUUUUGUGUUUUCUUGAAACAUCUUGCAAAAUAACUUGGAAAACUAUCAUUGGUUAAUAAUAACAUCUUUAAUUUGCCAUGAUAUUUUAAUGAACUUUUAAAACAAAAUGCCAUUUGCCUCAAUUAGGAUUUUGUGUUGAUGUGAAAGAUUCUCCUUUACCAUUUUUAAAAAAUAUUAUAAAUAAGGCAUUGUUCCAAUAAUUUAUUCACCUGAACAUUUUAACUAAACUGAUGCCUCUUAAUACUUAAUAAUAGGAUAAGAAGUGUUGACUUAUUGAAACAUGGGGCAGUCAUAUAAGAACAUAAAGUUUUGGUGGCAAUAUCUAAUAUGUUUUAUGUAAAUAUAAAAUAGAAUUACUAGCUUGUGUCUUGUGUACAAGUGAAAUUUAGACUAAAUGAAAUCAUACCAUAUCAUCGAUGUCUGAGUUCCAUUUGAAUACUGAAGUUUCAAUUUGCUUAUAACCAACCAAUGUCAGUUUUAUUAACUAUUAUAAAGGUGUGGCAGGUAAGCUUUAUUUUGAUAGACCAACUGGAAUAGAUUAUAUUGUACUCUUAUGUUGAGAACAAGGGGUAGUUAAGCUUUGAUUUUUGGGGGGGGUGAGAAAUAGUCAUAAUGUGUUCAUGUUUAAUGUCAAAUACCUUAACACGCAUUCAUGAUCAGUAUAUGUUUGGUAUUCUCCAUUGACUGAUUUCAGGUGGUUGAUCUGUAUAAACCAGAAGUGGAAUGUGGAUUUUGGUUGGUACAAAAUUACCUUCUGUAGAAAAUAAGGAACUGCAAUUGGAUUUUGAUGAUGGAUUUUUACAUUUACUUAGAUAUGCAACAUUAUUGGUUUGGUAGGGUUUAAAUCUAAAAUGGAUUUCCUCAGAGGGAAGGGUAUAUUGUUCUUAGAGUUUGAUGCUGAGUGAGGAAAGUUGAUUUUCUUUGGAUGUGUGACUUCUUGGGAGUGCUUGUUGGGAGAAGAAAGUGUUGAAUAGUUUCUUUUUUGGUAUUAGUAAUGUGUUUCCAUAGAUCACAUGAAUUUGAUAUUUAGGAGAAUUUUCCUUUUGACAUUGAUUACUUGCCGUCAGAUAAGAUCAGUUGUUAGCAACUUGUCUUUGUUGACAUGGGUAUACACUUGCAAUUUGAUUUCAAAAACAAGGGGAGGGGGUUGGGGAUAUAUGUGAUGUGCUGGCUUUAGAGGUGGAGUCUCUUGGGUUUGUUACAGUUGACUGGUAGUUUCAUACUCUUGAAUUUGAAGAACUUUUGUCGGAAUCAAUAUGGGAAGUAAAUUUAUUGUGGUUAUGAGAAUUUUAGGGGAACAAGGUUUGCAAGGUUAUAUAAUGGGUUAAAGAAUUUUGUGCAAGAACAAAGAAACAUUGAAAAUCUUGAUUUAAAAACAAGUUGCAUUAAUUUUUGCUCUCCUGCAACUGAACACUAGGGAGGCGCUCUUGAGUUGUACCCCUUUCUUCCAAUUGGGAUGGAAAAUUACCCCUUAAGCUUUGCCUGUAGUUAAUUUUUAGACUUAAUAAAGAAGGCAAAAGUGGAAUUUAAUUUAUGAAACUGAGGCUUUGCUUUCAUUUGUAAGCCAUUUUACCCACGGGGGGGGUUAAUUUUUAAAAAAGAUUAGUACUUAAGCUGAGCUUUAUAUUCUCUUAAGAAUUAUCCCUCUUUCAAAAUGGCUUGAUAAAACACCACUUCCUGUCCAGAGAGGAAGUUAUUUUAGCUCAAGGACUGAAAUAUUUAGCAGAUCUUUAGACAAAAGGAACAAAUUACAUUUCUCUCUGGCUUAAAAAGGGUGCUUGAGCCAGAGGGGGGUUAAGAAACCCUCCCCCCUUCCCCUGAUGGGGUGGUCUGGA